GCUCAACCGGGGAGGGUCAUUGGAAACUGGGGAACUUGAGUGCAGAAGAGGAGAGUGGAAUUCCACGUGUAGCGGUGAAAUGCGUAGAGAUGUGGAGGAACACCAGUGGCGAAGGCGACUCUCUGGUCUGUAACUGACGCUGAGGCGCGAAAGCGUGGGGAGCGAACAGGAUUAGAUACCCUGGUAGUCCACGCCGUAAACGAUGAGUGCUAAGUGUUAGAGGGUUUCCGCCCUUUAGUGCUGCAGCAAACGCAUUAAGCACUCCGCCUGGGGAGUACGGUCGCAAGACUGAAACUCAAAGGAAUUGACGGGGGCCCGCACAAGCGGUGGAGCAUGUGGUUUAAUUCGAAGCAACGCGAAGAACCUUACCAGGUCUUGACAUCCUCUGACAACCCUAGAGAUAGGGCUUCCCCUUCGGGGGCAGAGUGACAGGUGGUGCAUGGUUGUCGUCAGCUCGUGUCGUGAGAUGUUGCGUUAAGUCCCGCAACGAGCGCUACCCUUGAUCUUAGUUGCCAGCAUUCAGUUGGGCACUCUAAGGUGACUGCCGGUGACAAACCGGAGGAAGGUGGGGAUGACGUCAAAUCAUCAUGCCCCUUAUGACCUGGGCUACACACGUGCUACAAUGGCAGAACAAAG
This 636-nucleotide ribosomal RNA is filed under the name uncultured bacterium. Its description in RNAcentral is "bacterial SSU rRNA". It matches the Rfam family "Bacterial small subunit ribosomal RNA", at positions 607 to 1244 of the family's 1533-position model. The record is from RNAcentral.